This 119-nucleotide ribosomal RNA is filed under the name Pteropus alecto (black flying fox). The record is from RNAcentral. Lineage: Eukaryota; Metazoa; Chordata; Mammalia; Chiroptera; Pteropodidae.
UUCUACGGCCAUGCUACACUGAACAAGCCCUCUCUCGUUUGAUCUCGGAAGCUAAGCAGGGCGGGUCCCGGUUAGUACUUGGAUGGGAGACCACCUAGGAAGACCAGGUGCUGUAGGUG